This 101-nucleotide small RNA is filed under the name Octodon degus (degu). RNAcentral describes it as "7SK RNA (ENSODEG00000025779.1)". It matches the Rfam family "7SK RNA", at positions 4 to 105 of the family's 331-position model. From Rfam's summary of the family: 7SK was discovered as an abundant small nuclear RNA in the mid-70s but a possible function has only recently been suggested. Two independent studies have found that 7SK RNA binds the CDK9/cyclin T complex (known as elongation factor P-TEFb). P-TEFb activates transcription by phosphorylating the C-terminal domain of RNA polymerase II. Lineage: Eukaryota; Metazoa; Chordata; Mammalia; Rodentia; Octodontidae. The record is from RNAcentral.
GUGAGGGUGACCUGGCUGUGACACUUGCCACCCCAUUGAUCACCGAGGCCAGUUCCACUGAUCUGGCUGGCCGGGAGGGUGUCCCCUUCCUCCCUCACUGC